This 292-nucleotide ribosomal RNA is filed under the name uncultured bacterium. RNAcentral's name for it is "partial 16S ribosomal RNA". The record is from RNAcentral.
GGACUACCGGGGUUUCUAAUCCUGUUUGCUCCCCUAGCUUUCGCGUCUUAGCGUCAGUAAAGGCCCAGUCACCUGCCUUCGCCAUUGAUGUUCCUCCAGAUAUCUACGCAUUUCACCGCUACACCUGGAAUUCCAGUGACCCCUGCCUCACUCCAGACGCCCAGUAUCUGCUGACCCCUCCCAGUUGAGCCGGGAGAUUUCACAGCAGACUUAAGCACCCGCCUACACGCGCUUUACGCCUAGUGAUUCCGAGUAACGCUCGCCACCUACGUCUUACCGCGGCGGCUGGCAC